This 467-nucleotide ribosomal RNA is filed under the name uncultured bacterium. RNAcentral's name for it is "partial 16S ribosomal RNA". It matches the Rfam family "Bacterial small subunit ribosomal RNA", at positions 29 to 507 of the family's 1533-position model. The record is from RNAcentral.
ACGAACGCUGGCGGCGUGCUUAACACAUGCAAGUCGAACGGAAAGGCCCUGCUUUUGUGGGGUGCUCGAGUGGCGAACGGGUGAGUAACACGUGAGUAACCUGCCCUUGACUUUGGGAUAACUUCAGGAAACUGGGGCUAAUACCGGAUAGGAGCUCCUGCUGCAUGGUGGGGGUUGGAAAGUUUCGGCGGUUGGGGAUGGACUCGCGGCUUAUCAGCUUGUUGGUGGGGUAGUGGCUUACCAAGGCUUUGACGGGUAGCCGGCCUGAGAGGGUGACCGGCCACAUUGGGACUGAGAUACGGCCCAGACUCCCACGGGAGGCAGCAGUGGGGAAUAUUGCACAAUGGGCGGAAGCCUGAUGCAGCAACGCCGCGUGCGGGAUGACGGCCUUCGGGUCGUAAACCGCUUUCGCCUGUGACGAAGCGUGAGUGACGGUAAUGGGUAAAGAAGCACCGGCUAACUACGUG